CAGCAGCCGCGGUAAUACGUAGGGUGCAAGCGUUAAUCGGAAUUACUGGGCGUAAAGCGUGCGCAGGCGGUCUGUCAAGUCAGAUGUGAAAUCCCCGGGCUUAACCUGGGAACUGCAUUUGAAACUGGCAGGCUAGAGUCUUGUAGAGGGGGGUAGAAUUCCAGGUGUAGCGGUGAAAUGCGUAGAGAUCUGGAGGAAUACCGGUGGCGAAGGCGGCCCCCUGGACAAAGACUGACGCUCAGGUGCGAAAGCGUGGGGAGCAAACAGGAUUAGAUACCCCGGUAGUCCCUGUCUCUUAUAC
RNAcentral lists this ribosomal RNA (301 nucleotides) under uncultured bacterium. RNAcentral's name for it is "partial 16S ribosomal RNA". It matches the Rfam family "Bacterial small subunit ribosomal RNA", at positions 509 to 807 of the family's 1533-position model. The record is from RNAcentral.